CUUCUGUCGAUCUGUUAGUACAGUGCGAAGUCCAGUCUGUCCCCAGUCAUUCCCCCUUUUCUAUCCCUGCACCCCAGGCUUUUCCGGGGUUCAUGGUGAGACGCGGGUCCGGCCGGGGAGGCUGGGCGGGAACAGGUGACUGUGUACGGCCGUGUUCCGCGACCCCCGAGCGGGCUGGAGGAGGUCCUUGUCCCUGUCCUUGGUCCCAGCGCGGGCGGCAGGAGGUCCCUGGAGAGACAUCCUGGGGCCGGGCACGGAGGGAACCGAGUGUUGGCAUCGGGACUGGCACGGGGUGCUUCUGCGUGCCCUCCGGGGCCCCUUCACCCUCGGUGUUGACCCUAAUUGAGUUUCUGAAUUCCAGAGUUGUCGCCAUUUGUUUUCCUUCUGCUGAGGACUUAUUUUUCUGUGUUCCUCGGUACCCCGAGGUGUAAAAUGCGGAAGACCGUAGAGGAUAUCAAGCUCCACGGGCCUGUUUUCUUCUUUCAGCUUGCAGGUUUGAUGUGCCCUCAUAAACGUUUGUGGCUCAUCUGUUCACCCCCACCUCAAACCCGCUGCUCCCCCUGAGGUGGUAGCGAUUCUAGAGUGUUCGAAGCCUAGUGAGUGAAGAAGAGGAAGAAGGUUACAUACACCUCACCCUUUCCUUUCAGCUUUUGGAAUUUCUGAGGGACUUUUAGAUGCGCGAUUUCGGAAAUUAGGUGGAGUUUUCAGCGGUGGGAAGUUACUCUGCCUGACUUGGAGGGGGAUAACGGAAACCAAUCUUACUGAACACCUACGACAGAAAGGACAGCCCUGCAAAGCAGAUCCUGUUUGGGUCAAGUAAGCCAGUUCCGUAUAACGGCGGCUCAGUGAAACCUGUAGGCAAAGGAUACUACAGGUUUGUCUCCCCAAGCUCCCCAGGAGAUGGAAGGUAUAGUGAUAGGGAAGGUGGAGGAAGAAGACAAAGAUGAAGAAGACCAUUUUCAGAGAGAAAAAAAUAGCCUGGAGUUAUCACCAUAAUUUUUUAGUCGUUCUACAACUAUGAAUGAGAGAGCCUUGCUGUCAUCGUAUUUAGUUGCGUAUCACGUGGCAAAAGAGAAAAUGGCUCACACAACUGCUGAAAAAAUUAUUCUUCCAGCAUGUAUGGAUAUGGAGUGUACCAUUUUUGAUGAUAAAUCAGCUGACAAAUUAAGAACUAUACCUCUUAGUGAUAAUACAAUAUCUUGUCGGAUCUGCACUAUUGCAAAACAUUUAGAAGCAAUGCUUAUUACAUGGUUACAGUCUGGUAUAGAUUUUGCACUUCAACUUGAUGAAAGCACUGAUAUUGCCAGUUGUCUGACACUCUUGGUUUAUGUCAGAUAUGUGUGGCAAGAUGAUUUUAUAGAGGAUUUGUUGUGUUGUUUAAAUUUAAAUUCACAUAUAACUGGCUUAGAUUUAUUUACUGAAUUAGAAAAGUGUAUUAUGGGUCAAUAUAAAUUAAACUGGAAAAAUUGCCAAGGAAUUUCAAGUGAUGGAGCAGCAAAUAUGACUGGAAAACAUAGCAGAGUUAUUGAAAAAUUGCUAGAAGCAACUCAUAACAGUGCUCCUUGUAAUCACUGUUUUAUUCAUGGUGAAGCUUUGGUAUCCAAAGAAAUUCCACCAAGUCUGAUAGAUGUAUUGAAAAAUGCAGUGAAAAUUGUUAAUUUUAUCAAAGGAAGCUCAUUGAAUAGCUGACUUCUUGAAAUAUUUUGUUCAGAGAUUGGAGCUAACCAUACUCACUUAUUAUUUCACACAGAAAUUCAUUGGUUGUCUUGGGGAAAAGUAUUAAGCCGAGUAUAUGAGCUCAGGAAUGAGAUUUACAUUUUUCUCAUUGAAAAACAAUCUCAUUUGGCAAAUAUCCUUGAAGAUGAUAUCUGGGUAACAAAAUUGGUAUAUUUAAGUGAUAUUUUUGCAAUCCUUAAUGAAUUAAAUUUGAAGCUACAGGGGAACAACAAUGAUACAUUUCAACACCUUGAGCAUAUUCUGGGAUUCCAAAAGACUUUAUUGUUGUGGCAUACAAGACUUAAGAGUAAUCGUCCUAGCUACUAUAUGUUCCCAUCAUUGUUACAACACACUGAAGAGAACAUUAUUAAUGAAGACUGCUUAAAAGAAAUAAAAUUAGAGAUACUGUUGCAUCUCACUUCUUCGCGUCAAACCUUCAAUCAUUACUUUCCAGAAGAGAAAUUUGAGUCAUUAAAGAAAAACAUUUGGAUAAAAGAUCCAUUUGCUUUUCAAAACCCAGAAUCAAUAAUGGAGUUAAACUUGCUACCCGAGGAAGAGAAUGAAUUAUUGCAGCUCAGCUCAUCAUUCACACUGAAGAAUUAUUAUAAGACAUUGACUUUAUCCACCUUUUGGAUUCAGAUUAAAGAUGAGUUUCCAUUGCUGAGUAGAAAGAGUAUAUUGCUGUUAUUACCAUUCACAAGUACCUAUUUAUGCGAACUAGGAUUUUCCAUCUUGACACGAUUGAAGAUGAAGAAAAGAAAUAGGCUCAAUAGUGCACCAGAUACGCGUGUAGCAUUAUCUUCAUGUGUCCCUGACUGGAAUGAACUUAUGAACAGGCAAGCACACCCAUCACAUUAAAUAAAAUCUCUACAAAAUUUUGUUUUUUA
This is a long non-coding RNA of Choloepus didactylus (southern two-toed sloth), 2603 nucleotides long. RefSeq lists it as uncharacterized. Lineage: Eukaryota; Metazoa; Chordata; Mammalia; Pilosa; Megalonychidae. The transcript is spliced from 2 exons. The record is from RefSeq and is a predicted model, not a curated record.